Populus nigra (black poplar) is the source of this 1063-nucleotide long non-coding RNA. RefSeq lists it as uncharacterized. The transcript has 2 exons. The record is from RefSeq and is a predicted model, not a curated record. Lineage: Eukaryota; Viridiplantae; Streptophyta; Magnoliopsida; Malpighiales; Salicaceae.
UGUGAAGACUGGCCUACUACUUACAAGGACAGGCACUCUACAAGUCCACAUGUAUGACAUGUGCUUUUUUAUUUUUUUAUUUUGAAGAUAUUAAAUAUGAUAAUUUUCAUCAUAUCAAAUUUAAUUUGGUUUGAAGACCCUGCAUUGAGACAAUUAAUGAAGGAAGCAAUGAAGGAAAAAUUCAGACAGAGGAGGUUCACACAGCUCCGAAUCAGACUUUAAUUUGAUAAACCGUUGAUUCCAGGAUUCCACCAGCAUUGAUGAGCGUCUGCCUAGCGAGCGCAUUGAUGUUCAUUGUGUCACGGAAGUGAGGUUCCAAAAGUUUAUAGAUUGGGUGAAGCACGCUGAGUUGUCUAUUUGUUGCAAUCACAAAUGGCUCACUCACAGCAUGAGUGUUCAAGAAAUGGCUAAUAAGCUGAUGGUAACCGGAGUCGUUUACAGCCACAUAAGCUUUAGCCAGCUCCCAAAUGGAGCCUUCAACACCAUGUUCAGCUGGGGUGUAGACUUUGCUAAUGGCUCCAAAUUCAUCUCCUUCUUCAUGGGGCAAGCUUAACUCAAUUACAAGAGGCUUCAAAGUCCCGUCAUCUUUCAAGAAAAGCAGAGUCCUUGAUGCAUAAGUCUUCGUGGUAGUAGUGUUUAUCCUCCUCAGGUAUGGCAUCAAUGCAUCAUGGUGAUCUAAUAUGAACAUCCUGUUCUUCUCGAUCGCCUAUUCAGAAGCAAAGUGUUUCAGCUACAACAUGUCUUUUGGGAAGAGUAAAUUCAUCAAUUACAUCCGUGAAGCGUUCACAGAUCCGAUUCUAAACAUAAAUGUCGAAGAAACCAAUCGAGAGAUAGCUUACCUCAUCUAUGGACAGUCCAUCCAGACUAUCCUUGAUGUGCUCCUCAGUUAUGGUGCUGUUUUGAUCACCAUAAAGUUUGCUGUCUAGCUUGCUUUUGGGAGGGAAUUCCUGCAAUAAUUUGUUCUUAGACACAAGAAAAACAAAAAAUAUAAAUUUUGCCGAAAGAAAAACUUGUUGCAGCUUUAGUGUACCUCAAGACGACGGAUGAUAACAGGGUUUACUCC